AACGAACGCUGGCGGCAGGCUUAACACAUGCAAGUCGAGCGCAUCCUUCGGGGUGAGCGGCGGACGGGUGAGUAACGCGUGGGAACGUGCCCUCUUCUACGGAAUAGCCUCGGGAAACUGAGAGUAAUGCCGUAUACGCCCGCAAGGGGAAAGAUUUAUCGGAGGAGGAUCGGCCCGCGUUGGAUUAGGUAGUUGGUGGGGUAACGGCCUACCAAGCCGACGAUCCAUAGCUGGUUUGAGAGGAUGAUCAGCCACACUGGGACUGAGACACGGCCCAGACUCCUACGGGAAGCAGCAGUGGGGAAUCUUGGACAAUGGGGGCAGCCCUGAUCCAGCCAUGCCGCGUGAUCGAUGAAGGCCUUAGGGUUGUAAAGAUCUUUCAGCUGGGAAGAUAAUGACGGUACCAGCAGAAGAAGCCCCGGCUAACUCCGUG
RNAcentral lists this ribosomal RNA (433 nucleotides) under uncultured bacterium. Its description in RNAcentral is "partial 16S ribosomal RNA". It matches the Rfam family "Bacterial small subunit ribosomal RNA", at positions 29 to 507 of the family's 1533-position model. The record is from RNAcentral.